AUGCCAGAGCUGGGACACGGUGCCCUGCGCGGCACCUGUGGCACAGUCACUGCCCGCGGGUUCCAAGGCGUCGCCUACCUCGGCAGUUUCUCUGACCCGCCCCUGGCCUCCAAGAACGGCCCCCGGGGCAGGGCCGGGCACCGCCCCCUGCACCUGCAGGGAAGCCUACGGCCUCGCCCUGGCCCCGCCCUCGGGGUUGGGGGGCGGUGCUCGACAGGGCACCGCAUUUCGGGCUCUGACGCGCCUCAGGUCAGCUCAGGGCACCAGACUUCUUGUAAGAGGACUUCCCUGGACUCGGCCCGCCAGCUGGGAGACAAGUCUGGGUGGCGUUCAACUCGGAGCGCCACCCUGGCACCUUUUCGCUCCCACGUCCCCGGCAUUCCCAGGAGGCUUGACCCCAACUGUGCCUCGGGCUGGGCCUUUGAACCACUGGCCCUCUGGUGCUGGUGUCCUCCAAAGCCAUCUUUCCGGGGCCUUGCUAGCCCCGCCCAGGCCAGCGGACAGCAACGCCCCUGGCGUCUGGGCUGUCCAUCCACAUUCCACCCCUGCAGCGUACGACUCAGACUGGAGGGGGCGCCAGGAGUCCUCUCACGGCACGUCCCAGGUUCCCUCCCUGUUUCUGGGCUCAGCGAGGCCUCUUCCGAGAGAUGUGCCCCUGCCCGCGUUCAGCCCAGAGGCUGCUUUCCCCUCACCCCUCCUGGAAAAGUCAGAGAGGCGUCCGCGGCCAAGAGCACUUCCAGAUUGAGGGAAGAGGGAGAGACGGACACAGCGCGCCCAGAGCUUAGCGGAGCAGCUGCGGUUGAAAGACGGUCACCUUGGGCCCAGGCGGCUGGAAAGGCCCCCGAGAGGUAUCCAGGCUUGCGGUAUGGAGCAGCUCCCCCCAGCUGGCGCCAGAUCGUGGAGUUCAAAGGCAGGACCGAUGCCCCCAAAGACAUUUUCCACUCUCUUCCCCCAGGCUCUCUCCAAAUCUGUCCUCUGGCCCCACCCCAGCAUUCUGGGGUGACCAGGAAGAAAGAUAUAGUUACCUAG
This 1029-nucleotide long non-coding RNA is filed under the name Ursus thibetanus thibetanus. RNAcentral describes it as "lncRNA (ENSUTTG00000011767.1)". Lineage: Eukaryota; Metazoa; Chordata; Mammalia; Carnivora; Ursidae. The record is from RNAcentral.